AUUAUCAUCUUUCUCCAGAACACCGCUUACUAUCACAAUACAACGAUGGCUUCGGCACUCUCAAAUUCCUCAAUGAAACAAAAUAUCCACGGUUUUCCGGUAAUCUGGAACUUUCUUCUCGAAGUGAAGGCGGAUAGAGCCACCAGCGAAGGUCUGAGGAGAGAGAAAAAUCUUUUUUGGGCUAACUUUGUGAAUGUUGGAAAAUGAGAGAGAGAGAGAGAGAGAGAGAGAGAGAGAAGCUUGCAGACUGACAUGUAUUAUGUUGUACGUAUUUUUCGUAUAUUGCAACUUUCAUCUAACGGCU
Macadamia integrifolia is the source of this 304-nucleotide long non-coding RNA. RefSeq lists it as uncharacterized. The record is from RefSeq and is a predicted model, not a curated record. The transcript is spliced from 2 exons. NCBI's taxonomy places the organism in Eukaryota, Viridiplantae, Streptophyta, Magnoliopsida, Proteales, Proteaceae.